AAGGAAUAUUGGGCAAUGGAGGCAACUCUGACCCAGCCGUGCCGCGUGAAGGAUGACGGCCCUAUGGGUUGUAAACUUCUUUUAUACGGGAAUAAACCCGGGUACGUGUACCCGGCUGAAUGUACCGUAAGAAUAAGGUUCGGCUAACUCCGUGCCAGCAGCCGCGGUAAUACGGAGGAUCCAAGCGUUAUCCGGAUUCAUUGGGUUUAAAGGGUGCGUAGGCGGAUUUGUAAGUCAGCGGUGAAAUCCUACAGCUCAACUGUAGAACUGCCGUUGAUACUGCAAGUCUUGAGUACAUUUGAUGUGGGCGGAAUGUGUCAUGUAGCGGUGAAAUGCUUAGAUAUGACACGGAACACCGAUUGCGAAGGCAGCUCACAAAACUGUAACUGACGCUGAGGCACGACAGCGUGGGGAUCAAAC
RNAcentral lists this ribosomal RNA (420 nucleotides) under uncultured bacterium. Its description in RNAcentral is "bacterial SSU rRNA". It matches the Rfam family "Bacterial small subunit ribosomal RNA", at positions 356 to 773 of the family's 1533-position model. The record is from RNAcentral.